AUACGGAGGAUCCGAGCGUUAUCCGGAUUUAUUGGGUUUUAAGGGUGCGCAGGCGGCCAUUUAAGUCAGCGGUUAAAUCGUGGGGCUCAACCCCAUUCUGCCGUUGAUACUGGGUGGCUUGAUUGCGGUCGAGGUUGGCGGAAUUCGUUGUGUAGCGGUGAAAUGCAUAGAUAUGACGAAGAACACCGAUUGCGUAGGCAGCUGACCAGACCGCAAAUGACGCUCAUGCACGAAAGUGCGGGGAUCGAACAGGAUUAGAUACCCUGGUAGUCCGCACAGUAAACGAUGAAUACUUGUUUUCGGCGAUAUAAUGUCGGAGGCAAAGCGAAAGCGAUAAGUAUUCCACCUGGGGAGUACGCCGGCAACGGUGAAACUCAAAUGAAUUGACGGGG
Molecule: ribosomal RNA, 392 nt
Filed under: uncultured bacterium
Lineage: Bacteria
Description: partial 16S ribosomal RNA
Rfam family: Bacterial small subunit ribosomal RNA
Source: RNAcentral